This 46-nucleotide non-coding RNA is filed under the name Trichobilharzia regenti. The record is from RNAcentral. Lineage: Eukaryota; Metazoa; Platyhelminthes; Trematoda; Strigeidida; Schistosomatidae.
GUACUGCUGAAGAGUCUCAACAUAGGACGAAACAGUUGUGCAGUGC